AAAACUCCUCUCUCACGUAUCGUGCGUGCAUUAGCCAAUUGACCCAUUUGAACUUCUAAAUUUCUAAUGGAAGCACACAUGGUUUUGAAGGGUCGUCUCCAUCCUACUUAUGAAUUGAUUUGUAUUUGUGGGAGAACGAUGCUCGAAGGUGACGUCGGAAUUGUUGGGAUAUCACGGUCUCCCAUUGUUUCAUUCGGUUCCAAUUCAACUAGUUGGCUAAUUGAAGAGUGGGUACCAGUCAUUCACCGUAUGCUCAGAAACGAACUUGUUGUACCUGCAAACAAGGGCAAAUGAUUGUUUAAAUAAAGAGAAGAUGAUAGAAUUGAAGAAGGAAAUAAAACCCAAACACAAUUAGAAAAAGAAACUUUAAUUGUAAAAGGAAAAGAAUAUUAAAUUGAGAAAGGAGUUGGAAUCCUGUUGUGAAGUGGGAAUUAUGCGUUCCAGGAGUUCUCCAAGUCCAAGUAGUAGACUUGGAGUUGCUGCGUCAAACCUUCUUUCUUUAGAGAUAUACUGUAAACAAAUAUCUUACUUAACUUAGGGCUCGUCUGGUAAUGUUUUCGGAGAAUGUUUUCAAAGAAUAUUUCAGAGAAUGAAAAUGAGAAAACGAAUUUGCA
Non-coding RNA from Prunus avium (sweet cherry), 614 nucleotides. Lineage: Eukaryota; Viridiplantae; Streptophyta; Magnoliopsida; Rosales; Rosaceae. The record is from RefSeq and is a predicted model, not a curated record.